UCAGUUUAGAUAUAUUAUUAUUAUUUGUGAUUAUUUUUAAUAAAAUUAUUUUUAUUCUAAGUAUAUUAGAAAAGAUAUUUUUUAAUUUUUUAACUGUAAAGGUUAUUUUAUUUUGUUUAUAAAGUAUUUUUUGUUUGAAGUACCUUUUGCAUCAGGGUUUAUUAAAAUAAAUAAAUUAUUUUUUUUUCUCGAAGUCUUAAGAUUUAAUAAUAUAUGUUUUUCCUUGUUUCAAAAUGGUUUAUAAUAUAUUUUUAGAGGUUAUAUGCUUUUCAUUUAAGAUUAUAUCUAGUUUUUUAAUAAAUGAAUUUAAUUCAGGAAUAUGUAUAGCUUUAUUUUAAUUUUAUUAAUAAAAGUUAUUUAUUCUAAUAUUUCUGGGGAUAAUCUCAGAUUUAUUUUUAAAAGAUUUGUUUUAAAGAUUAUUUUUAGGAUCAAAAAUUUCCUUAUUUAUUUUGUUAUAAUUAUUUUUCUUUAAUUGAGAUUUAUUUUUCUUUAAUUUUUUAUUAAAAUUUUUUUAAAACUUAGUUUUUUAUUAAUAAUGAUAAAAUUAGUAAUUUUGUUAAUUUGAUAAUUGGAACUCGGCAAUUAUUAUUUUCACCUGUUUAACAAAAACAUGGUCUUUUGUAUUUUUUAUGAGAUCGGACCUGCCCAUUGAUUUAUAUUAAAAGGCUGCGGUAUUUUAACUGUACGAAGGUAGCAUAAUCAUUUGUCUUUUAAUUGAAGGCUUGUAUGAAUGGUUUGAUGAAAUAUAAGCUUUCUUUUAUCAAUUUAAUUGAAUUUAAUUUUUUAGUUAAAAAGCUAAAAUUUUUUUAUAGGACGAGAAGACCCUAUAGAAGUUUACUUAAUAUUUAAUUUUUAUUUUUUUGUUUAUAAAAUUAUCUUUUACUAUAUUUAGUUUUGUUGGGGUGACAUUAAAAUUUAUAUAACUUUUAAUUUUUAUUUCAUUGAUUUAUGUAUUUUUGAUCCAGAAUUUUUGAUUAAAAGAUUAACUUACCUUAGGGAUAACAGCGUAAUUUUUUUGGAGAGUUCAUAUCGAUAAAAAAGUUUGCGACCUCGAUGUUGAAUUAAGAUUAGAAAUGGGUGUAAAAUUUCAUUUUCCUUGGUCUGUUCGACCAUUAAAUUCUUACAUGAUUUGAGUUCAGACCGGUGUGAGCCAGGUCGGUUUCUAUCCUUAUUUUUUGUAGAUUAGUACGAAAGGACCAUUUACAAUAAUUAAAUUAUUAAUUUUGAUUAAAAUUA
RNAcentral lists this ribosomal RNA (1236 nucleotides) under Potamometra montandoni. RNAcentral's name for it is "16S ribosomal RNA". The stretch from base 998 to 1157 matches the Rfam family "Archaeal large subunit ribosomal RNA", at positions 2544 to 2703 of the family's 2987-position model. Lineage: Eukaryota; Metazoa; Arthropoda; Insecta; Hemiptera; Gerridae. The record is from RNAcentral.